RNAcentral lists this ribosomal RNA (397 nucleotides) under Heterosigma akashiwo. Its description in RNAcentral is "partial Bacterial large subunit ribosomal RNA". It matches the Rfam family "Bacterial large subunit ribosomal RNA", at positions 1989 to 2392 of the family's 2925-position model. The record is from RNAcentral. Lineage: Eukaryota; Raphidophyceae; Chattonellales; Chattonellaceae.
UGCACGAAUGGCGUAACGACUUCCCCGCUGUCUCCAGCAUAGACUCAGUGAAAUUGAAUUCCCCGUGAAGAUGCGGGGUUCCUGCGGUCAGACGGAAAGACCCCGUGCACCUUUACUAUAGCUUUACACUGGUAUUCGUGACGACAUGUGUAGGAUAGGUGGUAGGCUUUGAAGCGUGAGCGCCAGCUUGCGUGGAGCCACCCUUGAAAUACCACCCUUGUUUUCAUGGAUAUCUAACCGCGACGUACGUCCGGGACAGUGUAUGGUGGGUAGUUUGACUGGGGCGGUCUCCUCCUAAAGAGUAACGGAGGAGUACGAAGGUGCGCUCAGAACGGUCGGAAAUCGUUCGCUGAGUGCAAUGGCAUAAGCCUGCCUGACUGCGAGACUGACAAGUCGA